Molecule: small nuclear RNA, 103 nt
Filed under: Echinops telfairi (small Madagascar hedgehog)
Lineage: Eukaryota; Metazoa; Chordata; Mammalia; Afrosoricida; Tenrecidae
Source: RNAcentral
GUGCUCAUUUCGGCAGCACAUGCGAAAAUGGUGACUGUGCAGAGAUUAGCAUGACCUCAGGUGCAAGGAUGACACACAAACUCGUGAAGCAUCCCAUGGCUUU